This is a long non-coding RNA of Helianthus annuus (common sunflower), 637 nucleotides long. RefSeq lists it as uncharacterized. NCBI's taxonomy places the organism in Eukaryota, Viridiplantae, Streptophyta, Magnoliopsida, Asterales, Asteraceae. The record is from RefSeq and is a predicted model, not a curated record. The transcript has 8 exons.
UUGUUGAUUUUGUUUUUCAUGUGGAACCCUAAAUCUUGGAUAAAAUCGGACUCCGAUCAUUCGUGAAACAACAGAGAUAUGCAUCCCUUGCACAACAGUCCUUCAUUUUUAAAGCUUAUUGAUGAAGAUGACCCGAUAUUUUUGGUGAAGAGCUUCUUUCAGACUCCUUCCCCUACAAGGAACUAUUGAAUGGGUUCCUAUGAGAAGUUGAAGAAAAGUUAUGGAUAAUGAAAACAAUGCUCCUUCGUUAUUAAAGUCGAUUGAGGACUAUGAUCCUAUAUUUUUCGAAUUGUUCGUCGACCAAAAACAGUUAUGGAUCAUGAAACAACGCUCCUUCGUGGUUAAAGUUGAUUGAGAACUAUGAUCCUAUAUUUUUGGAAAUACCAUAUGAUUUUGCAACCUUAUUGUGGGGAGAACAACUUCCAUAUGUCAAUGUCUUAAAAUUAGUGAUGAUGAUUUAUCUUAUGGGUCCUAAAAACAACUCUCAUUCGUUGUUAAAGUUGAUUGAGGAAUAUGAUCCUAUAUUUUUGGUGUUUAUUUUGGAUGGUCCGGAGUUUUUGGCUGCAACUAUGUUGGACAGAGAUAUGCUUGCUAUUGCUGUAAAUUGAUACCAUGUCGGUUGGUUUUGCUUGGUAAG